This 72-nucleotide transfer RNA is filed under the name Camelus bactrianus (Bactrian camel). It matches the Rfam family "tRNA". Rfam says of the family: Transfer RNA (tRNA) molecules are approximately 80 nucleotides in length. Their secondary structure includes four short double-helical elements and three loops (D, anti-codon, and T loops). The record is from Rfam by way of RNAcentral. RNAcentral also lists the same sequence under 1 other name. Lineage: Eukaryota; Metazoa; Chordata; Mammalia; Artiodactyla; Camelidae.
GAAGGUACAGCUCAGUGGUAGAGUGUGUGCUUAGCAUGCAUGAGGUCCAGGGUUCAAUCCCUAGUAUCUCCA